Molecule: ribosomal RNA, 576 nt
Filed under: Triticum aestivum (bread wheat)
Lineage: Eukaryota; Viridiplantae; Streptophyta; Magnoliopsida; Poales; Poaceae
Description: partial small subunit ribosomal RNA
Source: RNAcentral
AUGCAAUUUCAUACACCAAUUAGCCACAACCUGCUCCAGUGGAACAAUUACACACAUCAUGAUCUGGACUAUUUUCUGUGGGCAAUUGCAUGGUCGUUAGUGGACUCGUUUUGUGUUAGCUCAUGUUUUGAAGGAAGUGGAAUUGUCACUAGGAGGGAGCUGAGCUGGAAUUAUCAUUGUUGUUCUGAGCCUAUACAGUGGGAGAUUGCAUGGUUUUAUCCCUUGGAGUAUUUUGCUAGUGACAGAGAAUUUGUUCAGCCAUUAUUUACGAAUUUAGUGCAGUCUUGCAUUUUUGGAGAGGUUUCCUUCCCUGAGUUAAAACAAAUACAGUGGAGAACUGCUCGUGUGACUUCGAAAGAAUUGUUGUUUUUCCAUAUGGGUGAAGAGAUCCUUCCAGCCAUCUCCAUUGUCAUCAGUUAUGGACCUGUUGCUGUUUUGGCUUGGUACGUAUUGGAUACAGAAUUCGUGAGUGCAGAUGCAUAUUUUGCGGAACUCCGCAAGGUACAGUGCAUAGGUGUAUGCGUUUCUCCUGGUGAUGUUACAUCAACUUUACAAAUAUGGCAAGGUCAUAUAUAG